This 1645-nucleotide long non-coding RNA is filed under the name Gadus morhua (Atlantic cod). Its description in RNAcentral is "lncRNA (ENSGMOG00000023562.1)". Lineage: Eukaryota; Metazoa; Chordata; Actinopteri; Gadiformes; Gadidae. The record is from RNAcentral.
UGUAUGUUCAGAGGCACCCCAACCCAAGAAAUCUACCUCCCCGCUGGUAUCGAAGGAUUGUAUCGGCACAGGUGAUAUAGUACAAAAUUAUUUAUUUCUUGGUUCUUUUGGUUUUAAAAGUAAAGCCCACAGGCACACAGGAUGAUAAGGGAAGUAUAAGACAUGCACAAUUUGAUAGUUGACAGAACAGGGGACCACUAGCCUCACAAUAAUAGAACUGUAGCCUAUGGUCAAUGCAAAUCACAGCACUCAUAAAAUAAAGAAAAGAAGGUAACAAACCAAACAAGCAAGCAAAGCAAAACACUCCAAAACAGUAUUACUCUACAAACCAAACACAAGGGACCACAAAUACAGCCUAUCGAAUAAAGAGACCAGAGCCUAACUGCCCAUCCCACCCAAUUGUACUUGCCCAAUAAAUAACCCCACCUUAUCCCUAUAUUCUCCUACGGACACGGUCCUUCACACGUACCAACCCGCCGGUAUGCGGCCACAGUCACUCACGCGCACCAACAUAUUCCCACUCGCCGGUAUGCGCACGCGCACACACGUAAACUAUAGAGAGGGAGAGAAGAAAACAGUGGCCACACGCUGGAGCUGGAGUCAAGGGUCGGUGCGUGUCUGCCGUUCCCCCUUAUCCCCGCUGCACGCCCGCCCUGAUUCCCCGGCUGCAGCAAACGUCUCCGAUCCCCCAGCUGCGGCCAACGCCUGUCACAGGCUGCGAGGAUCAAUACACGCAGACACCACCGAUCACAUUGUCAAUCUAGCCAUGCAAGAAUGAAUUGGGGAAAGGGUGAAGACACUACAUUACCUUGAGUCACGAUGUAGUUUAAAUUAAGACAGACACCCGACGUCGCUCUACAGCCCCAGCGUUCUGAGUUCCCUGCUCUCGAAAGCCCCAAAGAGAUCCCACGUCAUGGAAGCCCAGGUGUAUUUAUAGACAUCCUAAUUACAUCCCAUCAGUGCCCAAUUGUCAAACACGUAUUGCUUCCUCCCCUACUUUACCGUGUUUUCACCUUUCUGGUCACUCUGCUCACACUUACCAAAGGGUUAUUGGGCCAUUCUAAACCAUUUGGAAGUGGAAUACAUUAGUUUUGAGCGAAAUCAACAAUGUAAGGUCAAAAGCACGUUUAUGGUCGAAAAGUGAUUCUAGCGCUCUGAAAAAGCAUUUUGCAGGCAUAAAAACAAGAAAUGUUGAUAUCUCUGUCAAUUUAAAUGCAAACAUGUUACUAAGCUUACCAAAGGGUUUAUUGGGCCAUGCUAAACCAUUUGGAAGUGGAAUAUAUUAGUUUUGAGUGAAAUCAACAAUGUAAGGUGAAAAAAACAUUGUUGGUUUAAAAGUGAUUCUAGCGCUCUGAAAAGCAUUUUGCAGGCAUAAAAACAAGAAAUGUUGAUAUCUCUGUCAAUUUCAAUUCAAACGUGUUACUAAGCUUACCAAAGGGUUAUAGGGCCAUACACCACCAUUUGGAAGUGGAAUACAUUCGUUUUGAGCGAAAUCAACAAUGUAAGUUCAAAAACACGUUUAUGGUCGAAAAGUGAAUCUAGCGCUCUGAAAAGCAUUUUGCAGGCAUUAAAACCAGAAAUGUUGAUAUCUCUGUCAAUUUAAAUUCAAACAUGUUACUAAGCUUACCAAAGGGUUUAUUGGGCC